RNAcentral lists this small RNA (291 nucleotides) under Pongo abelii (Sumatran orangutan). Lineage: Eukaryota; Metazoa; Chordata; Mammalia; Primates; Hominidae. The record is from RNAcentral.
GGGCGAGGGCUAAGUGUGGUUCUGACAUCUCUCACUUCAUCUAUUUCAAGGUUGACCUGGCUGACUAGAUGGGAGUCCCUACCUCCCUCUCCCUUUCAUGUAUGUCCUUCUUGAAGCUACAUAGUUUUUUAAAAAAACAACAAAAGAGAAGCACUUUUCUUUGGUUAGAUACAAGGAUCUGUCCUUCUUGCUAAACUGUCAAACAAGCUCCCUGUGUUAGUGAGGUCUGCACAUAGGAUGAGGCCAGACCAAGAAGUUGGACGACAAAGCAGAUUCCAGGGGCUAGAACUC